This 789-nucleotide ribosomal RNA is filed under the name uncultured Methylobacter sp. RNAcentral's name for it is "bacterial SSU rRNA". It matches the Rfam family "Bacterial small subunit ribosomal RNA", at positions 557 to 1343 of the family's 1533-position model. The record is from RNAcentral. Lineage: Bacteria; Pseudomonadati; Pseudomonadota; Gammaproteobacteria; Methylococcales; Methylococcaceae.
GGCGUAAAGCGUGCGUAGGUGGUUCGUUAAGUCAGAUGUGAAAGCCCUGGGCUCAACCUGGGAACGGCAUUUGAUACUGGGUAGCUAGAGUUUGGUAGAGGGGAGUGGAAUUUCAGGUGUAGCGGUGAAAUGCGUAGAUAUCUGAAGGAACACCAGUGGCGAAGGCGACUCCCUGGACUAGAACUGACGCUGAGGUACGAAAGCGUGGGUAGCAAACAGGAUUAGAUACCCUGGUAGUCCACGCCGUAAACGAUGUCAGCUAGCCGUUGGUCCUAUUUACAGGAUUAGUGGCGCAGCUAACGCAUUAGAGUUGACCGCCUGGGGAGUACGGCCGCGAGGUUAACACUCAGAUGAAUUGACGGGGGCCCGCACAAUCGGUGGAGCAUGCGGUUUAAUUCGAUGCAACGCGAAGAACCUUACCUACCCUUGACAUCCAGAGAAUCUGUUAGAGAUACUAGAGUGCCUUCGGGAGCUCUGAGACAGGUGCUGCAUGGCUGUCGUCAGCUCGUGUUGUGAAAUGUUGGGUUAAGUCCCGUAACGAGCGCAACCCUUAUCCUUAGUUGCCAGCGGGUAAUGCCGGGAACUCUAGGGAGAUUGCCGGUGAUAAACCGGAGGAAGGUGGGGACGACGUCAAGUCAUCAUGGCCCUUAUGGGUAGGGCUACACACGUGCUACAAUGGCCGGUACAGAGGGCUGCGAAACUGCGAAGUCAAGCAAAUCCCAGAAAGCCGGUCCUAGUCCGGAUUGGAGUCUGCAACUCGACUCCAUGAAGUCGGAAUCGCUAGUAAUC